RNAcentral lists this ribosomal RNA (253 nucleotides) under uncultured bacterium. RNAcentral's name for it is "partial 16S ribosomal RNA". It matches the Rfam family "Bacterial small subunit ribosomal RNA", at positions 524 to 776 of the family's 1533-position model. The record is from RNAcentral.
UACGGAGGAUCCAAGCGUUAUCCGGAAUCAUUGGGUUUAAAGGGUCCGUAGGCGGUUUGGUAAGUCAGUGGUGAAAUCCGGCAGCUCAACUGUCGAACUGCCAUUGAUACUGUAGGGCUUGAAUUAUUGUGAAGUAACUAGAAUAUGUAGUGUAGCGGUGAAAUGCUUAGAUAUUACAUGGAAUACCAAUUGCGAAGGCAGGUUACUAACAUUACAUUGACGCUGAUGGACGAAAGCGUGGGGAGCGAACAGG